Molecule: long non-coding RNA, 1170 nt
Filed under: Pongo abelii (Sumatran orangutan)
Lineage: Eukaryota; Metazoa; Chordata; Mammalia; Primates; Hominidae
Description: lincRNA
Source: RNAcentral
GCAGAUGGCGUCUGAGUGCACAGUGGCGCGUGUGAUUCCGCAGUCUUGGGCUGUUCGGCCAAGUGCCCACCAGACGUGGGGCACUGGAGGGUCAGCAGCGUGGAGUCUGGCUUUCAGCGUCCACGGCUGGGAAAUCGGCCAUCGCCACGGCGGGAACUAGGACUGGCUGCGUCCCGGCCCUUCCCCAUCCGUCCACCGGACUCGUGGGCGCCCGCACUGGCGCUGAUGUAGUUUCCUGACCUCUGACCCGUAUUGUCUCAAGAUUAAAGUGGAGACGGGGUUUCAUCGUGUUGGCCAGGCUGGUCUCGAACUCCUGACCUCAGGUGAUCCCCCGCCGUCCAGAUUUUGAACAAAUCUCUCUAGGGAUUGAACAGAGCUGCGCCUGGAUCCUGCCACAGUGAGGAGACCUGAAGACCAGAGGAAGCACAGCAAGAGUCUCGCUUUGUUGCCCAGGCUGGAGUGUAGUGUGGCGAUCUCUGCUCACUGCAAGAAUCUGCCUCCCGGGUUCACACCAUUCUCCCACCUCAGCCCCCAGAGUAGUUGGGACUACAGGCUCAUGCUACCACACCCGGUUAAUUUUGUUUUUGUGUUUUUAGUAGAAACGGGGUUUCACCAUGUUAGCCAGGAUGGUCUCGAUCUCCUGACCUCGUGAUCCGCCCACCUCAGCUUCUCAAAGUGCUGGGAUUACAGGCAUGAGCCACUGUGCCCAGCUGUUUUUUCAUUUCUAUUAUGAUUUGUUCUGUGGACUGUCAGUGACUUAGCGGUAUGUUUUUCACAUGUUUAUCAAGCUGAAUAGUUCUGUAUGUCAGCUCAGCACCCCUAGUGUCAGCCAUGCUAGUCUCCUGCUGUGCAUAGAUGGGGGCCCGUCCACACCCGAAUCUCCUGGAUUCCCGCUGUCAGCACCUGAAGGUACCCACCCGAUGCAUCUAUCGCUUCCCUCCAUCCACCUCUCUUGUGGUUCUCAUGUUUCUGCCUCCCUAGAGACCAUUUCUCUCUAGAGCAGUAGUUUGCAAUACAAAUAAAAUGCCAGACACAUACGUCAUUUUAGAUUUUCUAGCAGUCACUUUAGAAAAGUUAAAAAGAAACAGGUGAAAUUAGUUUUAUUUCACCUAAAAUGUUAGCAUUAUCCAAAAUAUCACUUCAACAUCUUAUCAAAAUAAAAAUUAUUAA